CCAAAGAAAACUACAACUCCCGGAAGCCUCCAGAAUGCCAUCUCCAGUUUGCGAGGCAGUACGGGACUUGAAGGCUUAGGCCCUCGCGAUUGCUGCAGCCUGGGCUGACUCUUCUCGCCCGGUUACUGCCACCUGGUUCUAAAUCAGCACGUCCCCAAAGUGCCUGAGUAUAAGAAGUGUCUGCCAGGCUGAUUGAAAGUGUAGAAUAACAGGUGAAGAAACUGAGACACAGAGUUAGUUUAUUGCCCUAAUCACAAAGCUACAGGUGGAAGAGGAGGGUUUGAACUCAGGUUUCCUGAAUCCAAAUCUUGGUGAUGUUUAACCUAAGGUGUACUACAUCCUGAAAGCUAGCAGGCCUCAUACUCUAGAGUGGUAGAAGCCUCCCCGCUUCUCUCGGUCUCCUGCUGCCUCAUGCUGCUGCUUGAGUAGCGUGUACAGCUCCAUCAAGUGUUUCACAGUCAUGAACUGAUGCAGAGUUUACCGCUGCCCACCAGAGUCGGAGCCGUGCCUGACCAGGGCUCAGAGAAGAUUCCAGCAUCCUGAAGGCAAGAACCGGGUCUCAGUUUUCUUUGUUUCGUCAUGACUGCACAAGCUCGGGCACCAUGGCACUCAAAGGUGCCCACUUCUUCUCCCUGGAGGCAGCCAAUACUGUUAGUUCCCUGUAUAUUCCUCCAGAGAUGUUUUGUGCGCAUAAAGAGAAAUCUCACUGACCUAAGAUGGUUGGAGAAGGCCUUUCUGGAGAAUGAACAUUUUUGGUAAGAGUGGAGCAGAGAACAAGAUCCAGUUGGCUUGGCCAAACAUGGCACCAGGGAGCCGUGGAAGCCUCCUCAGCCGGGGAAUGAUGUUUCUGCGUCAUCAAACAUUUAUGACAAGACAGAGCAACACAGAGUGACUUGGAAUGAAUUCAACAGACCAAUAUUUUGAAAUCAGGGUGGAUUGACUUCCUUUAGAGAGAACAGUUCUCCCAUCUCUUCGAGGCAUCAUCCAGAGGAGGAAGAACAGCAAGGUUCCCAGUCCCAGAGAGCACAACUCUGGUCACACGUUCCAACUCACCGACCAUGAAGUAGCUUAACAGUCUUCUUCGAAUAAGUGAGAAGGAAGCUCCAUGUACCGAAGAGAGAGCCCUCCAGACCUGUGGUCAGACCUCGUUUCUCCUAUGACCUUAGGAGUCCCCACAGUAAAAGUGUUUCUGUAGCUGGGAGUUCACAGCUGCCGUAAAACCUAAAUGUCAGCAGCUCCCGUGGUGUUGGAUCACGUGCUACCCCACUUACAGCCAGCAGCCCUGACAUCGGGGCCAAGCAUCUCAGACACCAAGGCUCUACUGAGGAAGAAGUCAGCUGACCCAGGAUAAACCAAUCAGAAUCUCCCUAGAAGACACCCCCACACACAAGGGCAAGUUUUGUUACGUUUCUUUCUUCCUUCCUUUCUUUCUUUUUUCCUGUUUUGUGCACUCCUAAAUCCCAAGUGCCUAAGAUAAUGCCAGGCAUGUAGUAGGUUCUCAUUUUAUAUUGAACUUUAUCUUUCUCUGCAUUUGGAAUCAAGACUAGGCAACUGGUCUCUGCAAGACUGGCACUGAGAGACCCCUAACCCGGAAGCUAAGGCAGCCAGGAUCUGCCCCGAGGAUUGAGGACUGAACUGGGGGGAAAGGAGGAGGAGUAAGAAGCAGAAAGGAGACGGGUGGAGGCAGAGAGAGGCAAAACACGUCUCCAGAAUAGACCCCUGUGUCCUUAUGAAAAUAUUCCACCCUCCUUUCUCCUUGAGCUUGCUUGAGUGGGUCUUGAUAUUUAAAACCAAGUCAAUCUAACCAAAACAGCAUGUCUCCUUGAAGUCCUUCCCCAGAGGGAACGGUGCAAAUUCCUGUGAACUCUUGAAGUAUUUUUAGCAGCAUACGCUUGGAUAACUUUAGUCCUUGUCUGAUCUGUGCACUGAGGGAGGUAGGAAGGUGGGAUGGCACUCUGGAGCCUGACUGCCUGGCUCCCAAUCCUUGCUCCUGCCCAUCCAUCCUGCCACCUGGGUCAGGUGAGCUAACUUUUCCGAAACCUCAGUUUCUUCCUCUGCAAAAUGGAGGUGAUAAUGGCCACUACCUCCCUGUGUUAUUUUGAAAAUAUAAAGUGCUUUGCACUGUACUUAGCACAUGGUUAGCACUAAAUAAGUAAAAAUAAUGUAUCCAAUACACUGAACAAGCAGGAGUCUUAUAAAAGCAAUUUGAUUUUUGUCUCCUGUUUCACUUUAAACCUGUGCAUGGUCCGCAAUCUCUUCCUCCCCGAAGAAUGAGAUUCUGAGCAGCCCCAGGAGUUUUCUGAUCAGUGUUAGGUAGUAAAAGCUCCUGGGGUCGCUUUAAGUCAGAGACAGCUGCCUCAGUCCAUCACUUAUUUCUGCUCCCCUCUUUCCACGAGGGCCUCCUUCCGGAAGAAUACUGGGGGGUUGGUGUAUCUGCUCCUCCACUAUCUUGCUAACCUAUUUUCUGGUUCCCUCAAAGGUUACAUGGGAAUCGAGAAGGAAAAGGAGGGGACAGGAAAGUCCUCAAUUGUUUGGCACUGUCAAAGCCUGACUUUGCCCCCUCUGAGUCUGACAGAUACUUGAAGCUGACAGUUCUGCACCCAGAUUUUCUGGAGAUGCCUCUGCUGGACCACCUAUGAUAACAAAUUCAGGCUUUCCCUUUGGCCAGUCUGCACCCCACCCGCUCCAACUGGCCUCUCCCUUCAGGACAGGAUCCCCUUCAUAAUGACCCCAGACUGACAUUUUUAUUGCUGUACUGAAUGUAACAGCUCCCCAGCCCCCCCCAACACCUGGCCCCCAUUUCCCCUACCUCUGACCUGCCAUCAUAGGGCCGUGUCCCUUCUCUGCUGCCACCAGCCACUGCCGCUUCCUUGAGCACAAGUCAGACCUAGGCCCACCGCAUCCUCCAGCUUCAGGGUACACAAAACAAGCUCUCUGAGAGUCCCAGGGAGCGAGGGCUGAGGGUGAAAGCACAAAUGCCUUCUCCAAAGAAGGCCUCCCAAAAUCUUCCCCAGAGGUCAAUAACGUACCCCAUUUCUACUUUCCAAAGUGGUGAAGAGCUUUGAGAAGGGUUCGAUUGGUGUUUGGAAUUUUCUUUUGUAAAUUCUGCUCUUGGCUGGCCUUGCCCCUGCUGUGGAAUGCAGCAGCUGUCAGACUUUGGUGCCUCCGCUAGAACUUGGGUUUGAACCUCCUGUUAAUAAUAAAGCGACAUGUACGGCUGACCUUUACGUUCACAAAAUGUGAUCAGAUGCAUUUUCUCACCCAUUCCUUACAGCACCUCUGCCACACUGGCUAUUCUGCUCUCCCUGUUUUCCUGAUGAGGAAACUGAGGUCACAGAGAGGUCAAAAGCUUGAGAUUGAGACCCAUUUGGCGCUGCCUACCUGACUCCUUUCCACUGCAGCACACAGCAUAUCAGGGCUCAGUGCUGCCUGGCUGUGGUCCUUCCAUGGCCCCAGGACACUCGGGACCCAAGGGAUGUCCUAAGAGCCUGCCUGGAAAGGCAGUGGCUUUCUGAAUCCAGAGCUAAAACACAGACGGGAGACCUCCUUGAAGGAGAUCAAGGCAGGCAGCCCUGUGACUGGCAGCUGGGUUCAGAGAAGCAGCCAAAGAAAAGCCUUGCUUCCUUUGCACAUAAAGCCUCCAUUCUCAGCCAUCACACUGGCACAGACACUCACAGACCAGAGCCUCAAAGGACCAGACAAUGAAACAGACACAGGCAAG
Phacochoerus africanus (Common warthog) is the source of this 3721-nucleotide long non-coding RNA. RefSeq lists it as uncharacterized. NCBI's taxonomy places the organism in Eukaryota, Metazoa, Chordata, Mammalia, Artiodactyla, Suidae. The transcript has 10 exons. The record is from RefSeq and is a predicted model, not a curated record.